Molecule: long non-coding RNA, 865 nt
Organism: Pezoporus flaviventris
Lineage: Eukaryota; Metazoa; Chordata; Aves; Psittaciformes; Psittacidae
Exons: 3
Source: RefSeq, a predicted model, not a curated record
AAUCCUAUAUAGUUUUGCAGUAAGGCAUCUGUUGUGAGAAAGCUUCCUUAGGACCAGGGCAUACAUGCUCCCUGGAGGAAGGGAAACCCCACUGGUAGCCAGGCCACCCUCCCUGCAGGCCAUGACUGGGGCCUCAGGUCUGGUUCAGAGGCCUGUCCUCAAUCCUCAGAAUGAUGGAAUGAAAUCAUCACAUGGCACAAUCUACUGUGGAUUUCUUUGUGGCUAGUCCAGACCAUCUGGAGCAGUUUCUGAGGAGACUACUUUGCUGUGGGUUGAAUCUUCAGCAAGUGUGUAUUAACACAUUUCCAGUGCAGUCUGCAGGGGUAUUACCAAAGGGAAUCCAAGGCCCUUUGACUAAAAAAUGUAAGCUGACCUGCAGUAUGCAAGUGCAGGGGGUCAACCAUUUGAUGUGGGAUAUAUCUUCAGGCCAUUCAAGUAGCUUCAUAGCUAAGUCUCAAAAUGCAACUUCCUGCAGUUGUGACCCAUGGACCUUUCAAGUGCAGUGGAAGACUUGAUAGAUCAAUCAUGCAGUUUCCAGGACUCUCAAGCAUCAUUUGCUUCUCAGCUGAUUUUCUGGUAGUUGAACCAGGACAAUCAUCCAACAUUUUUCUUGUGAAAUAGAGUGUGUUUUAUUAAAAUCAUAUUUUGUAAAAAUUUAAUAAAGCAGCUCAAACUUUUUCAAGGCUAGACAAUACUUUGAAAACUGCUUCCAAAUCCCUGGCCUCAAUAUAUGAAUACUAAUUGUAUCUUAUCUACUGUGGGUUAUUGAAAUCCCAACCAGUAGGAAAGCUAAUCUGACAUCUCCAUUCACAUACACCUUCUUUUGAGCCUCUUUACAAUUCAGUCAGUGUUAUCAAUGAUUAAA